This 253-nucleotide ribosomal RNA is filed under the name uncultured bacterium. RNAcentral's name for it is "partial 16S ribosomal RNA". It matches the Rfam family "Bacterial small subunit ribosomal RNA", at positions 524 to 776 of the family's 1533-position model. The record is from RNAcentral.
UACGAAGGGGGGCUAGCGUUGUUCGGAAUCACUGGGCGUAAAGCGCACGUAGGCGGAUUUUUAAGUCAGGGGUGAAAUCCCGAGGCUCAACCUCGGAACUGCCUUUGAUACUGGAGAUCUUGAGUCCGGAAGAGGUAAGUGGAACUGCGAGUGUAGAGGUGAAAUUCGUAGAUAUCGCAAGAACACCAGUGGCGAAGGCGGCUUACUGGUCCGGAACUGACGCUGAGGUGCGAAAGCGUGGGGAGCAAACAGG